UAAUCUAACGGGAAGGGCAUCGGACCAC
This 28-nucleotide non-coding RNA is filed under the name Bombyx mori (domestic silkworm). Lineage: Eukaryota; Metazoa; Arthropoda; Insecta; Lepidoptera; Bombycidae. The record is from RNAcentral.